GCAAAACGCGAAGAACCUUACCUACCUUUGAAUCCACGGAAUCUCGCAGAGAUGUGAGAGUGCCUUCGGGAACCGUGAGACAGGUGCUGCAUGGCUGUCGUCAGCUCGUGUCGUGAGAUGUUGGGUUAAGUCCCGUAACGAGCGCAACCCUUGUCCUUAGUUACCAGCGAGUUAUGUCGGGGACUUUAAGGAGACUGCCGGUGAUAAACCGGAGGAAGGUGGGGAUGACGUCAAGUCCUCAUGGCCCUUACAGGUAGGGCUACACACGUGCUACAAUGGCCAGUACAAAGGGUUGCCAACCCGCGAGGGGGAGCUAAUCUCAAAAAGCUGGUCGUAGUCCGGAUUGGAGUCUGCAACUCGACUCCAUGAAGCUGGAAUCGCUAGUAAUCGUGGAUCAGAAUGCCACGGUGAAUACGUUCUCGGGUCUUGUACACACCG
RNAcentral lists this ribosomal RNA (438 nucleotides) under uncultured bacterium. Its description in RNAcentral is "bacterial SSU rRNA". It matches the Rfam family "Bacterial small subunit ribosomal RNA", at positions 954 to 1392 of the family's 1533-position model. The record is from RNAcentral.